This is a non-coding RNA of Nelumbo nucifera (sacred lotus), 1291 nucleotides long. The record is from RefSeq and is a predicted model, not a curated record. NCBI's taxonomy places the organism in Eukaryota, Viridiplantae, Streptophyta, Magnoliopsida, Proteales, Nelumbonaceae.
CACGAGAAAACCUUACCGGGACUCGGAGUCUGAGGAAUCGGUACAGUCACUGUGAAUUGUGAUCACUGAUCACGAGGAAUUGGAGGCUUGAAGCCGAUACACUCGCAGUAAAUUGGGACAGUCGCAGCAAACGACGAUACGAAUAGCCGUUUGCCUUCGGGACCACGACGCUUGAGAGUCUGAGAGGAACUAGCCCUCGAUUUCGAGGACACGGACGUACAUGGCUCCAUCCAGCUCAAUGUGCUUGGAUAUUGCAGGGAAAGACGGGACAAAGGGGCCUGUAGGAUUUUUGAUGCGGAGCAAGAGGAGGUAGUGGCAGGUCCGGCAACCGCAGGGCGAGGAGAGGAUCCGUGGUCUGAGAGUCGCUAGGAAUCUGGUAUGGAAGUAUAAAGUAUGAACAGUGCGCUUUUCGUCUGCAAUGGUAAUGACCUAACAAAGUAGUACAUCAUCAAAUUACUCUUCCUAAACCCUGUUCAAGCCUUCCAGGUUCAACAGUUCAACUCAAAGUUUUUGCCCUUUAAUCCCUGUGCAAUCCUUUUCGUGAUGGGACGAAAAGCGAAAGGGAGAGGACGUGUUGGCUGAAAAUAAUAGGAUUUUUUCUUCUGUUGAGAAGAUCAACUGAUAGAUCUUUAUGCCUCCCUCAAAACCCGCAAGUUCGACCCCCCCCUGCUUUCACUUCUGUUUUACUCUCGGAAUCAAAGUAUAGACUUCUCACUGUCUCAGAAAUCAAUUUGCUAACCGAGGAUAGUUCUGGUUUUGGGGCUUUGCAGAACAUCUCAAGGUUUUCUUCUUCUCCACAGACUUCUCAUUCUCCUUUUGAGCUUAAAACCACAAUGAGACCAUCUUGUUAUCAUCGCUUUCUCUUUCCAUCAAGCGGUGGUCACUGGUUCCGUUCUCAGACCAUUUUUGAACCCAAGACCUCCGAUGGCCUUACUGUCGAUGUCAUUGUUGCUAGUUGAUGGACUAUAACUCUGACGAAAGCGAAGGCGAUUGGAAGAGUCACGCCACUACCACCGCUCAAUCCAUUCAGCUAAUCAAGAAGCGCUCAGUGUCAGUUUUGUAUGAUGACAGUGGAAGACGACGGUAGUCAGGUUAGAGAUGCUAUCAAUCUAACCUUUGGGAUGGCCCUGUCAUGCUGGGAAGAUAAGCCGUGAGCAUGGUACUCUAAUGGGUAAAUGAAGGAAGUGAAUGGAUUUGAGCGAGAAUUACUCGAACACAUUGAUAUGCGAAAGCUUGCAUGCAAAGAGAAUGAUGGAGAAUUGAAAUCAAUGGGCCGUUGCAACUUCUUCCU